AGCACAUGUUUACUGUAGCACACAUUAUCAAAUCAUGGACUAAUUAGGCUUAAUAGAUUCGUCUCGCAAAUUAACCUCCAUCCGUGCAAUUGGUUUUGUAAUACUCCUAAUUAAUAUCUAAACACACAUUCGAUGUGACAGGAAUUUUAGGAGCUCACGAAGAACCAAACGCCCCCAUAUAACAUGUUGGAUGGUGUCUGAUCAUUAGCCUUAAAACAAUAAACUUUAGUUUUAUUAGGUUGAUCAGCCUUAAAACAAUAAACUUUAGUUUUAUUAGGUUCUGUUUGGAUACACAGUGCUAAAUUUUAGCACAACACUUUUAGCACUUGUGCAUCCAAAUGUGUGCUAAAGUUUAGCACAUCCCUCUUCAUUAGCACACCCAAGGGAUGCUAAAACCUGCUAAUAGUGCUAAAAGUGGUCCCUAAGCCCACAUUUUCCCUGAUUCCCCCCUCCCUCUUCUCCAUGCCACACCCCCGCCGCUCUUCCGGUCGACCACCGCCGCCUACCUCACCCUCGCCUCCGCCGCCGCCUACCUCAUCGUCGACCACCGCACCGGCGCGCUCGCGGGGCUGCUCUUCCUCGCCGCCUGGACCGCCAUCCACGCCCUCGCGGCCCGCCUCGGCUUCACGCCUGCUGGAGCACGCCUCUCCCGUCGAGACCCUCACCAGCUGCCUCUGGGGCGUUGCGGCGUUCCUCGCGCUGCCCCCGAUGCCGCCGGAGGCCUCGAUCCCCUCACUCUCGGCGCAGGGCCGGCCGUCGUCAGCUCCAUCGGGUCUAUCUCCGCCUCACCGCACUGCUUCACCGCCACCAAAAUCCGAGCGCGCCCUCCGCUUCGUCAUGGCCCAUGGCACUGGACGCACCCCCUGCCGCUGGUGACGCCACGGCGACCGCUGCGGCGGUUGCCCCCGCCGGCGACGAGAAGGCGAGCGGGUGGCCUAGAUAUGCGAUGGGGGUGGGGGCUCGAGGCUGUGUGCUGCUUGAUCUGCUGGCUUUGUGGGCGGUUUGGCUAAUGGCUAAUAGUGCUUGGCUAAGGGAGCGUUUUCUUCCCGUGUCUUAUUUUUAGCACGUGUCACAUCGAAUGUUUAGAUACUAAUUAGGAGUAGUAAACGUAGACUAUUUACAAAACCAAUUACAUAAGUGGAAUCUAAACGGCGAGACGAAUCUAUUAAGUCUAAUUAAGCCUAAUUAAUCCAUCAUUAGCAAAUAUUUACUGUAGCAACACAUUGUCAAAUCAUGGACUAAUUAGGCUUAAUAGAUUCGUCUCGCCGUUUAGAUUCGUCUUAUGUAAUGGGUUUUGUAAAUAGUCUACGUUUAAUACUUCUAAUUAGUAUCUUAACAUUCGAUGUGACGGGUGCUAAAGUUUAGCAAGUGGAAGAAAACAGGCUCUAAGAGGGGUAGUGGAUUGGGGGCAACGUUGACAUUUUUCCUCAAAGGUGCUAAAGAUUAGCACCCCAUUCAAAUAGCCCUGUGCUAAAAUAAAG
Molecule: long non-coding RNA, 1481 nt
Filed under: Setaria italica (foxtail millet)
Lineage: Eukaryota; Viridiplantae; Streptophyta; Magnoliopsida; Poales; Poaceae
Description: long non-coding RNA (SITA_LNC002162)
Source: RNAcentral